RNAcentral lists this ribosomal RNA (253 nucleotides) under uncultured bacterium. RNAcentral's name for it is "partial 16S ribosomal RNA". It matches the Rfam family "Bacterial small subunit ribosomal RNA", at positions 793 to 1055 of the family's 1533-position model. The record is from RNAcentral.
GUCCACGCCGUAACGAUGAGUGCUAAGUGUUGGGUCGAACCUCAGUGCUGAAGUUAACGCAUUAAGCACUCCGCCUGGGAGUACGGUCGCAAGACUGAAACUCAAAGGAAUUGACGGGACCCGCACAAGCGGUGGAGCAUGUGGUUAAUUCGAAGCAACGCGAAGAACCUUACCAGGUCUUGACAUACCAGUGACCGUCCUAGAGAUAGGAUUUCCCUCGGGACAGUGGAUACAGGUGGUGCAUGGUUGUCGU